RNAcentral lists this non-coding RNA (191 nucleotides) under Spirochaetes bacterium GWE1_32_154. RNAcentral's name for it is "6S RNA". It matches the Rfam family "6S / SsrS RNA". From Rfam's summary of the family: E. coli 6S RNA was the first non coding RNA to be sequenced, but its function was unknown until recently. The record is from RNAcentral. Lineage: Bacteria; Pseudomonadati; Spirochaetota. RNAcentral also lists the same sequence under 4 other names.
UUUUGCCUGCGGUGCUCGUGAUAUGGAGAUUGCAUUCGCCGCAUAUUACACUUACGGGACUCCAACAUCAAUUUGCAUGAUAUCGGUCUUAAGUUUACGCUUUUGAUUAAUAGAUUGUAGAGUGAGGAGACCCACCUUGGUAAACCAGGGUAGAAUCUAUACUCUAUCAACCACGGCAUUGCGGGUUUUUU